UUUUUGUUGCUGGCGUCAGGAGGCUGGCUGUUGAAUGGGUUGCGCCUCGGCAGAAGUUUGUCCCGGGUCACCGGCGGCCAGUAGUUUGUGAAAGCGGCGGGGGCGGGACCGGAGGCAGCCUGAAGCCCUGAGGACGCGGUGACACACGCCGAAUUAGUCUCCUGUUGAACCACCCAUGUGACUAGGAGUGUCCACAUCCCACGUCGGCAGUGGUACCCUGCACACCUUCAGGGGAUUAAUGAAAUCACAUCAGCUGCAAGACCCAACACCAGACUGUACCCAGUAAAACUCCAUGGUUUAACAUGACUGGCACUUCCUGUUUCCUCAUCUGCAAAAUGAGAACACUAAUACUGACCCUGUCUGUAGCAGCCAUGGUGUUUUAAGAGGACAGGUGACCAUGUCCAUGGAAGUUUCAUAAACGGUGAAAUUCUAUACAAAUGGAGAGCACCAAGAAGUCCUAGAAGAAAAUACUUUCUGCAGACUGAUUUUGGAGCUGGAAAGUUUGAGAGAUCUGCAGCCUCACUCUGGGAGUAAAAUGACACUUCUCUGCGAGAGUCACAUCCAGUUCGAAGGCACAGACACCAGCUCACCACGCAGCAGCUACUCUCCACGUGGGGGUUCAUUAAAGGAGAGAGCGUCUGAAUUCAUGUCCCUCUUUUUUCCUGAGUCUUUGAACUAACAUUUUAGAUUAGUUCUUGUGCCUUUAUAUGAGACAACUGUUUUCCUCAGAAGACGUUUUGAGUUCAGUCAGAUUUUCCAAAACUCAGGGUUGAAAUUAUGGUACUGUAUCAUGCUCCCAUGGACUCUUAUUUCCUUUUCAUUCCACUUUCUUUAAAUCAAAUCCUUUGAAGUCAAUAAGUGUGUUUCUUAAAGCUCUGCUUGACUAAUAGUAUUAGAAAUGUUAUGCUAACCUUGUCAGUCCUACCUUAGAUUAAAUCAUGUUUGCAGUGGUUUCCUAGGUUUGCAACCUGUAAUAAAACUGAAUUUCCACUAGAAUCUGAGGAAAAAAAUACAAUGCUAACAUCAAAGAAAAGGUAAUUUUUAUAUUCUCUUCAUCUUUAAUGUUUUAAUGUUUCCAAAUGCUGUAUUCCUAUAGAGGAAAACAUCAGGCUUAGUAUGUUUUUUAAGCUACAUUUAAUGAAUUCUUACAAUGAAUACAAAUACAACAUUUUUGCUAAAGCAUUAGAACUCUGAAAGACAUGAAUGAUUAUACCCAUUUUAGAAAUGAAGAAACUGAGGCUUAGAGAUAGAAUGUCUUAGAGAUUAUAAAUGAUAAGGCAGUGUAACUAGGCCAAGGUCAUCAGCUAGUAGUAACUGGUAGAGCUUCGAUUUGUAGGCAAGUAUUCUAAUUUUCAGAGCCCCGUUUCAUAGCCAAUCUGCUGUAUUUUCCAUCUUCAACUUUCUCUCUUCACCCACUGUAAACUUCUUAUCAAAUCAUUGUCUAACUUCCUUUCCUCUGGCUACCCACUACACUGAUCUUUGUUUAUAUGAUGAUGUAAAAAGUGCUUUACUCCCAUGUAAUUUUUAGCCAUCCUUCAAGGAUGUAUAAAUUGAGAUUAAAUCAUCUUUGGGUAACAGAAAACCCAACCAACAUUAGCUUAUAGAGAAAGCGAUUAAGAGCACAUAAUUUAGUAGCAGACUGCCUGUGUUCGAAGUCCAGCUUCUCUACUUACUAACUGACACACUUGGGUAAGUUACUCAAUCUUCUCAUGCCUCUAUUUCCUCAUCUUAAUAACUGGAAUAAUAAUAGUACUCAUUCUGACUGUUCUUAUGAAAACUAACUGUAAAUUCAUGUAAACUGCUUGGAAAAUGCUAAAAAAAAAAAAAAAAAAAGAAAACAUUUGCUGUUACCAAUAUUUAAACAAAUACAUGGGUUUGGUUUUCCCACAUAAAACAACAACAACAAAUUCAGAGGUAGACAGUCCCAGGGGUGCAGCCACACCAUGGUGCCAUCAAGGGAUCAGGUUCCUUUUGCCCUUCUGUCUGCCACUUUCAGCAUGUUGGUUUCAUUGUUAUAGUUACAAAAUGUAAGCUCCUCCUUUUGCAUUCCAGAAAGAAAAAAUAAAAAAGGCAAGGAGUGAAAUGAUUCUUCUUGUGGGCUUUUUUGUCUUUUAUCUGAGGACAUAAGGCUCCCUAAAGGACUUACUCCUACAGACCAUCAGCCAAAAUGGUGUCUUAUGGCUAUCUUUCCCUUCAGUGGAGGCUGGGAAUUUUAGAAAUUCAUGUACCAGCCUCUCUAAUGGAGGAAGACAGACAAUAUAACUUCAUUAAUCCCAGAGGAAACAAGGUGGGAAUGGUUAUCCAGUGAGGCAAUCUUUAGGAUCUACCCCAAAGACCCAGCUAAAAUCCUACAUGCUUUCCCUAAUUACCUACCAAGAAGACAUUAUUCAUACUAUUCAUUUCGAACUAAUUUAUGGUUGUCUUUGCCUAGAAACCAUAAUUUUACAUGGUUGUUUUCUUCUUAUCCUUCAGAUUCCAUUGUAAUGUCUCGUCCUCAGGAAGAAAAAGGAGAAACCUGAUUUAUGAAGAUUUUAUCUUAGCCCACCCCACUGAAAACACGUCU
This is a long non-coding RNA of Loxodonta africana (African savanna elephant), 2563 nucleotides long. RefSeq lists it as uncharacterized. Lineage: Eukaryota; Metazoa; Chordata; Mammalia; Proboscidea; Elephantidae. The transcript has 4 exons. The record is from RefSeq and is a predicted model, not a curated record.